CAGAAGAAUGCAUUCCUUUGAAUCACUGGAUCAAUGAUAUUCUUGAUACUUUCUGGCAGAUAUCUGGUUGAUUUGACUACCUUCAAAAUAUGCUUCGGUCCAUCUUUCACAGCACAACAAUUGUGCUCUUCUCUCUUUCUUAAUUUAGUUGUUUCUUGUACAUCUAAACUACCAAUAGCCAUAAUUCUGGUUGUUCUUUGAUCAUACAUAAAUUUCAACUCAAU
This is a long non-coding RNA of Homalodisca vitripennis (glassy-winged sharpshooter), 224 nucleotides long. RefSeq lists it as uncharacterized. The transcript has 3 exons. The record is from RefSeq and is a predicted model, not a curated record. Lineage: Eukaryota; Metazoa; Arthropoda; Insecta; Hemiptera; Cicadellidae.